This 253-nucleotide ribosomal RNA is filed under the name uncultured bacterium. RNAcentral's name for it is "partial 16S ribosomal RNA". It matches the Rfam family "Bacterial small subunit ribosomal RNA", at positions 524 to 776 of the family's 1533-position model. The record is from RNAcentral.
UACGGAGGGUGCGAGCGUUGUCCGGAAUCACUGGGCGUAAAGGGCGCGUAGGUGGCGCGGGCAGUCAACGGUGAAAGCUCGGGGCUCAACCCCGAGUCGGCCGUCGAUACUCCCGCGCUUGAGCACUGUAGAGGCAGGUGGAAUUCCGGGUGUAGCGGUGGAAUGCGUAGAGAUCCGGAAGAACACCGGUGGCGAAAGCGGCUUCCUGGUCCAGCAUCGACGUUCAGGCACGAAAGCGUGGGGAGCAAACAGG